Molecule: long non-coding RNA, 288 nt
Filed under: Dasypus novemcinctus (nine-banded armadillo)
Lineage: Eukaryota; Metazoa; Chordata; Mammalia; Cingulata; Dasypodidae
Description: lncRNA (ENSDNOG00000050894.1)
Source: RNAcentral
GGGCCGGCGGGGUCAGCUCGGUCGCCUCAGGCCUACCCUGCUGCCCUUGGCCGUGGGAGGUUCCUCGGGAAGGCGCAGUCCCCACCAGGCAGCCCCUGGUGGCCGCCCGAGCCUUCCUGGGCCUCCAGGCCCCUGGGGAGGGAGCCAAGAUGGCUGGCACGCCCUCGGGCACGGCGGGACGGGCAGCCGGGCCGGCUGGCUUAGAGCCCGAGGGGCCAGAGGCCAGACCUGGGUCCCGGGACAUCACCUGCUUGAAACCACGAGACUGAGGGAGGAGGGAAGCUGGCC